Molecule: ribosomal RNA, 465 nt
Filed under: Vreelandella stevensii
Lineage: Bacteria; Pseudomonadati; Pseudomonadota; Gammaproteobacteria; Oceanospirillales; Halomonadaceae
Description: partial 16S ribosomal RNA
Rfam family: Bacterial small subunit ribosomal RNA
Source: RNAcentral
CCUACGGGGGGCAGCAGUGGGGAAUAUUGGACAAUGGGGGGAACCCUGAUCCAGCCAUGCCGCGUGUGUGAAGAAGGCCCUCGGGUUGUAAAGCACUUUCAGUGAGGAAGAACGCCUGGUGGUUAAUACCCAUCAGGAAAGACAUCACUCACAGAAGAAGCACCGGCUAACUCCGUGCCAGCAGCCGCGGUAAUACGGAGGGUGCGAGCGUUAAUCGGAAUUACUGGGCGUAAAGCGCGCGUAGGUGGCUUUAUAAGCCGGUUGUGAAAGCCCCGGGCUCAACCUGGGAACGGCAUCCGGAACUGUCAAGCUAGAGUGCAGGAGAGGAAGGUAGAAUUCCCGGUGUAGCGGUGAAAUGCGUAGAGAUCGGGAGGAAUACCAGUGGCGAAGGCGGCCUUCUGGACUGACACUGACACUGAGGUGCGAAAGCGUGGGUAGCAAACAGGAUUAGAUACCCUGGUAGUC